GCGGUCAUCGUCCAGUUUGGUCUAGGACACUGGCCUUCCAAGCCCGUAACCCGGGUUCAAAUCCCGGUGACCGCA
RNAcentral lists this transfer RNA (75 nucleotides) under Nitrososphaera sp. RNAcentral's name for it is "tRNA-Gly". It matches the Rfam family "tRNA". From Rfam's summary of the family: Transfer RNA (tRNA) molecules are approximately 80 nucleotides in length. Their secondary structure includes four short double-helical elements and three loops (D, anti-codon, and T loops). Further hydrogen bonds mediate the characteristic L-shaped molecular structure. tRNAs have two regions of fundamental functional importance: the anti-codon, which is responsible for specific mRNA codon recognition, and the 3' end, to which the tRNAs corresponding amino acid is attached (by aminoacyl-tRNA synthetases). tRNAs cope with the degeneracy of the genetic code in two manners: having more than one tRNA (with a specific anti-codon) for a particular amino acid; and 'wobble' base-pairing, i.e. permitting non-standard base-pairing at the 3rd anti-codon position. Lineage: Archaea; Thermoproteati; Nitrososphaerota; Nitrososphaeria; Nitrososphaerales; Nitrososphaeraceae. The record is from RNAcentral.